This is a long non-coding RNA of Mus musculus (house mouse), 1147 nucleotides long. RefSeq annotates it as aging liver Treg-expressed non-protein coding RNA. NCBI's taxonomy places the organism in Eukaryota, Metazoa, Chordata, Mammalia, Rodentia, Muridae. The transcript has 4 exons. The record is from RefSeq and is marked validated.
AUGGCAUCCCCUAAGACCUCAGAGGUGGCCGGCUCAAGAAAGUAUCUUCAAAUCCUGAAACUGGGCGGGAAGAGGCAUGGCAUCCAGGAAUCUUUUCUGCCGGUUUCAGAGUCCCAACAGUCUCCUGGAAACUGUAAUGUGCCUACGAUUUACUAAAAAGCCAAGCAGGAGCUCAUUUGACAAAGCAAUAUUCAAGGUCGACAAUUCUUCUCCAGUAUACACAGCUGUUUCAAAACGUUGCUUUGGGAGGAUGCAGCGAGGUCCUGAGUUCAAUUCCCACCAACCACAUGGUGGCUCACAACCAUCUGUAAUGGAAUCAGAUGCCUUCUGCCGCUGUGUCUGAAGACUGUACUCACAUAUAUAAAGAAUUUGAUCAGUUUGAUGAAAUUUCAUUGAUGUCAACUCUCCAGCUGUCUGUGCCUUACCAAAAGCUGUUUGCCUCCAAGACAAUAAACAGCCCGUGUGAUCCUUUCUCUUGCUUAAGCAGGAAGUCACCACUCAACAGGAAGGAAUUUAAAACCAAUCCCACAAAAUUUCGUGUUUGGUAUAAAAUGUGAAAUAUUUGAAGUCUGGGGAUAUUGUCAUCUCAGAGGUCCCCAGUGGGAACACAUGGCUGCUUUCCGGUUCAGUGAGAGGGUCACACCUUGCCCUCGAGUCGAAUAUAAUUGCAAACAUUCCCCUCUGGGGAAUAUCUUGUAAGGAAGAUUGCCUGACUUUCUGUUAAAUCAAACCUCUCCCCUCGAUGCCUUACAAAUUCUCAGGCUUACUGUAUUUCAUCAGCCUAAAGGCAGGGUUUGACAUCAGCAAUUGUUCGAGAACAUUUGCUUUUACAGUGGAAGAAAGAAAUGAAAAGAGCAGAUCCCAGACCAGAAAAUCCAUGCCUCUCUGAGCCGUUUUCUUAGGGAAAGAGGGUGGGCUUUCUGUUGUUUGUUUGUUUGCAGGUCAGGACGAAUGCAGUAGUUGAUGCAUCGUUGUGACUAACAAAAAACAUUUUAUAUCGGUUAGAGACUUUUUAAAAACUUCAUUACAAAGUUAGAGAAAAGAUUAGGGCAGAAGAAAAAUGAAUGGGAAAGUCGAAAAUCCUCGAUGCAUGCCAGGAAAUAAAAACGACCUGAGUCAAAUCCAAAUACAAGCAAACGGAACAACC